Long non-coding RNA from Ruditapes philippinarum (Manila clam), 2988 nucleotides. RefSeq lists it as uncharacterized. The transcript has 2 exons. NCBI's taxonomy places the organism in Eukaryota, Metazoa, Mollusca, Bivalvia, Venerida, Veneridae. The record is from RefSeq and is a predicted model, not a curated record.
UAUCUUAUAGGUCCAAAUGUUAUCUAGUUAAUAGUUGAACCAAGAUGUUAUGUAGUGUUUACAAUUGUACCAAGAUAUCUUAUAGGUCCAAAUGUUAUCUAGUUAAUAGUUGAACCAAUGUGUUAUACAGUGUUAACAGUUGUACCAAAUGUUAUCUUAUAGGUCCAAAUGUUAUCUAGUUCAUAGUUAAACCAAGAUGUUAUACAGUGUUAACAGUUGUACAAAGAUAUCUUAUAGGUCCAAAUGUUACCUAAUUAAUAGUUGAACCAAGAUGUUAUGUAGUGUUUACAAUUGUACAAAGAUAUCUUAUGUUACAAAACCAUGACCUAAUGUAACUGAUAUUUUACAAGUUCAAAUGUUAUCAAGUAAAUAGUUGAACCAAGAUGUUAUGUAGUGUUAACAGUUGUACCAAGAUAUCUUAUAGGUCCAAAUGUUAUCUAGUUAAUAUUUGAACCAAGGUGUUAUACAGUGGUAACAGUUGUACAAAAUGUUAUCUAAUUAAUAGUUGAACCAAGAUGUUAUGUAGUGUUAACAGUUGUACCAAGAUAUCUUAUAGGUCCAAAUGUUAUCUAGUUAAUAGUUGAACCAAGAUGUUAUACAGUGUUAACAGUUGUACCAAAUGUUAUCUUAUAGGUCCAAAUGUUAUCUAGUUAAUAGUUGAACCAAGAUGUUAUACAGUGUUAACAGUUGUACCAAAUGUUAUCUUAUAGGUCCAAAUGUUAUCUAGUUAAUAGUUGAACCAAGAUGUUAUACAGUGUUAACAGUUGUACCAAGAUAUCUUAUAGGUCCAAAUGUUAUCAAGUUAAUAGUUGAACCAAAAUGUUAUACAGUGUUAACAGUUGUACCAAAUGUUAUCUUAUAGGUCCAAAUGUUAUCUAGUUCAUAGUUGAACCAAGAUGUUAUACAGUGUUAACAGUUGUACCAAGAUAUCUUAUAGGUCCAAAUGUUAUCUAGUUAAUAGUUGAACCAAGAUGAUCAAGAUGUUACAAAACCAUGACCUAAUGUAACUGAUAUUUUACAAGUUCAAAUGUUAUCAAGUAAAUAGUUGAACCAAGAUAUUUUAUACAGUGUUAACAGUUGUACCAAGAUAUCUUGGGAAUAUAUAGUAAAGAUAAGUUUAAAUGUUACAUAGUAAGCAGUUAUAAUGGGCAUUAAUGUCAUACACUGUCUAGUUAACAGUAUGGUAGUACAGAGUAAUUCGUGGUGUAAGCGAUAGGUUACAUUGUAAUGGAUAUGUUUUGAUAUUUUAUAAUAAAAUGUAAAUCACAAUUUUAUGAAACACUUCCACUGCCAUGUACUACAAGAGCACUGAAGAUCUUGGAAAACCAAAUGCUUUACUUGGGUCCAGAUUUAAUUUCAGAAUCUUUAGUACUAAGUGUGUUCAGUUUUUCCAUUUUUAGCUCACCUGUCACAAAGUGACAAGGUGAGCUUUUGUGAUCACAAUUUGUCAGGGGUCGUCUGUCCGUAUGUUGUUUGUUCUUUAAAUUUUACUUUAAAUGAUAUCUCCUCAUAGACCACUGAGCCAAUUUAAUCCAACUUCACAGGAAUAAUUGAAUUCCAUGCAGAACUCUGGUUGCCAUGGCAACUGAAAGGAAAAACUAAAAAAAAAUCUUCUUAAAAAAAACCCAAAGAGCUAGAGCUUAGAUAUUUGGCCUGGGCCAAAAUUGGUACCGACCCAGGGGGAGGGGUCAUUGAUUUUCCUUAUAUGUAUAUAGUUAAAACUUAACAAAUCUUCUUUUAAAAAACCAAAAGUGCUAGAGCUUAGAUAUACAUGUAUAGCAUGAACCAUCUUUUAGUGAGUAUCUUCCAAAUUUGUUCAAAUAAAAGCCCUGAGGGUGAAAUUGGCCCCACCCCAGGGUGUCAUUGAUUUUCCUUAUAUAUACACAUUUUUUGGAACUGUUGUUUUCUCUUAACUAUAGCAAACAUGAAAUGUUUUACACAUGCACUUUUCCAGAUAUAAUUAUAAACUUUGUGAUAUCACUUUAAGACUAAUAUGAAGAUUUUAUAUCAUUCUGCAUUGUUUAUAGUUUACAAUGUUUCUUGUCUUUAUCAUAGAGAGUUUUUAUAUUCAGGUGAGCGAUUUCAGGGCCAUCAUGACCCUCUUGUCUUAAUUAUACCAUUGUAUUUCUCCUAAAUAUGAAUUUUUUACUUUUUAUUUAUUUAUUUUUAAGCAAUAAGAAAAUACUAUGCAUGUACAGAUGUAUUUUAACUUAGAACUAUUGAGACUUACCACAUGUAAUUGUUUAUUUUAUUUUGUUUGCAAUCUUAUUUUAUGUUUGAACAUUUUGUUUUACAUUCCUCUCAUCCAUUUUGUAUUGACAAUAAUAUCAAUUUUGUAUAUUUUAUUUUGAAUUAAAAUAUUUUCUAAAUUAAUCACUUCGCCCAUUUCUGUUAGAUUAAACCUUUUUAUGUAUAUAUUUUAAAGAAAUUGUUCAAAAUCAUGUUAAAGUCUGCUUUUAUUUUUUGACCGGUACUAGUACGACACAAAGAAGAAUUGUUGUAUAUGGUGCAUGCACUUAGGGCCAUCGUUUUCUCCUUGUUUUUUAGCUUAUUAUCCUAUGCUAGUACACACAGAAGAAUUGUUGUAUAGGGUGUAUGCACUAGGGGCAUCGUUUUCUCCUUGUUCCUAUGCUAGACAGAUUCUGCAGAUGUCUGUAGUUAGGACAAAAGAUCACCGAGGCCAUUCCUCAGCAUUUCCGUUUUUACGUUCUGCACAUUUUAGAACAAAGCAUAGUGUCAUUCUGACAGUGGUACUGAUAUGAUCAAUGAUUCGUAGUCAUUUCCAUCCGUCGAGUGUCUUCAACGUUUAUAUCUGGUGUUUCAUCUAAAUGAGUUUCAUAUUCGUUGGUUGAAAGCUUUGUCAUCAAUUUACUGUAAUCAUAUUUCUCAUGUCUAUGGAUUUCCACAAUUUUAGUUUUGGUUUAUUGCUGUGUCGUUAAUCUUGGCUAUUAUAAUUGCCUUCCUGGUGGGGAAAACAUCGGCGGGGAA